CAAUCUUGCAUUUACUCACAUCAAAUUUUGUUUAAAUAUUCUCCAAAGAGUCUCACCAUCGAAUAAUUCUUAAUCCGCGUGACACAAGCACAUGACUUGUUUUUACUAUUAAGUUCGAAAUCCCAAAUACGUAGACAACAUGCAGAUCUUUCUGGCUGGGCGAUUUUAAAACUUGGCAAACUUGUUUCCAAACGUGAAAUGGCGAAAAUAACAAGGGGCAAAAAUAACCCUGUAACCAGUAUAAGUAUUAACUCACUAUUUAUAGUAUAGUGUUAACUUCCUUGUCAGGGAAACAAGGAAGUAGAACAUUUGAAAUUUAGAAUAUUGGUUCAUUGUCCCCUGCACUCUAUACAUGUACUAUGUAAUAUUUCACAUUUCUUCUUCAUAUAGAUAUGUUUUUCAGCUGUAGAGAUAGUUAUCAGAUUUCAUUAAUAUUUCUUCUAGUUGUUGUUUUUCCAUAUGUUCUAAAUAUGUCCAGCUGUGAUGGGAAUAAUGGAUGCUGUCUCAACUACUACUGGAAUGAAAUCUAUCAGAAUUGUUCAAAAUGUCCGAUAGGAUUCACGGGACUAAAUUGCUCAGUAAUGUGUGAAUAUCCAAACUACGGGGAAAUAUGUGAAGGGUAUUGUGAAUGUCCAAAGAAAAAAUGCAACUUUAAAUCUGGUUGUGGAGAUGUGACUUCUACUGGUAAUAAGCGUCAUAAUUAAUCAACACUUAUUAUUCUCAGUCAUAUAAAUUCAAUUGAGAUCAAUUGUUUUCAAAACUGCAUAAAACACAAAUUUUCUGCUGAGCAAUAAAAUGGACUUCUGCAAGCACCAGUAGAGAGGUCAUGUA
Saccostrea cuccullata (small rock oyster) is the source of this 831-nucleotide long non-coding RNA. RefSeq lists it as uncharacterized. The record is from RefSeq and is a predicted model, not a curated record. NCBI's taxonomy places the organism in Eukaryota, Metazoa, Mollusca, Bivalvia, Ostreida, Ostreidae. The transcript is spliced from 3 exons.